RNAcentral lists this ribosomal RNA (430 nucleotides) under uncultured bacterium. Its description in RNAcentral is "bacterial SSU rRNA". It matches the Rfam family "Bacterial small subunit ribosomal RNA", at positions 355 to 775 of the family's 1533-position model. The record is from RNAcentral.
UCGAGAGGCUUCCACAAUGGGGGAAACCCUGAUGGAGCGACGCCGCGUGGGUGAUGAAGGUCUUCGGAUCGUAAAACCCUUUCAGCAGGGAAGAAUGAGAACGGUGUUAAUACCACCGUAUUAGAGACGGUACCUGCAGAAGAAGCUCCGGCUAACUCCGUGCCAGCAGCCGCGGUAAGACGGAGGGAGCAAGCGUUGUCCGGAUUUACUGGGCGUAAAGGGCGUCUAGGCGGGCUGGCAAGUCAGAUGUGAAACCCCCCGGCUCAACCGGGGACCUGCAUUUGAUACUGCUGGUCUUGAGUACGGAAGAGGGAAGUGGAAUUCCUGGUGUAGCGGUGAAAUGCGUAGAUAUCAGGAAGAACAUCGGUGGCGAAGGCGGCUUCCUGGUCCAGUACUGACGCUGAAGCGCGAAAGUGUGGGGAUCGAACAG